CCUCUCCUUGGUGAACUGAGUAAGUUGCUUCUUGCACAACUGCAUCAUGGAAAAAGGGUGAAGGCGGCUGGGCAGAUCCAGGCCUGGUGGCGUGGGGUCCUGGUGCGCAGGACCCUGCUGGUCGCUGCCCUCAGGGCCUGGAUGAUUCAGUGCUGGUGGAGGACGUUGGUGCAGAGACGGAUACAUCAGCGGCGGCAGGCCCUGUUGAGGGUCUAUGUCAUCCAGGAGCAGGCGACGGUCAAGCUCCAGUCCUGCAUCCGCAUGUGGCAGUGCCGGCAAUGUUACCGCCAAAUGUGCAAUGCUCUCUGCUUGUUCCAGGUCCCAGAGAGCAGCCUUGCCUUCCAGACUGAUGGCUUUUUACAGGUCCAAUACGCAAUUCCUUCAAAGCAGCCAGAGUUCCACAUUGAAAUCCUAUCAAUCUGAAAGGCCUGGGGCAUGGAGAACAGGCUCCACUGCCCUAAUAAAUGUCUGACCAGGU
RNAcentral lists this small RNA (478 nucleotides) under Pongo abelii (Sumatran orangutan). Its description in RNAcentral is "processed transcript". The record is from RNAcentral. Lineage: Eukaryota; Metazoa; Chordata; Mammalia; Primates; Hominidae.